UAACACGUGGAUAACCUACCUAUAAGACUGGGAUAACUUCGGGAAACCGGAGCUAAUACCGGAUAGCAUGUUGAACCGCAUGGUUCAAAAGUGAAAGACGGUCUUGCUGUCACUUGUAGAUGGAUCCGCGCUGCAUUAGCUAGUUGGUAAGGUAACGGCUUACAAGGCAACGAUGCAUAGCCGACCUGAGAGGGUGAUCGGCCACACUGGAACUGAGACACGGUCCAG
This 228-nucleotide ribosomal RNA is filed under the name uncultured Staphylococcus sp. RNAcentral describes it as "partial 16S ribosomal RNA". It matches the Rfam family "Bacterial small subunit ribosomal RNA", at positions 111 to 334 of the family's 1533-position model. Lineage: Bacteria; Bacillati; Bacillota; Bacilli; Caryophanales; Staphylococcaceae. The record is from RNAcentral.